UAAGAAAGUGAGAUGAUCGCUCCGACGUUAUGUUGGAGAGGAAAGUCCGAACACAAUGCAACCGGGAGCAAGUCCGGCUUUAUGUCGGACCCAAGCCCAGGGAAAGUCUCCGACUUUGCGUUGGAGGUGCGUUCAUGGAUGUCAGCUGAUUUCGUGAGCGCUCGCAACAGAGACUAUACUAACCAGUGCUUCGCACUGGAAAUUCCAAAUUACAAAAUCCAAAUUUCAAACAUAUUUUGUUUGUUAUUUGUAAAUUGUAUAUUGGUGUUUUCACUGCGGAGCAGUGGCAAAAGGUGAAAAGUGUCGCGUCAAACGCGAUUUCGGUCAGUAGCGAUACUGAUCGGUUGUAAACCCCACUUGGUGCAAGACCGUGUCCCGAUAAUGACAGUUAUUAUCGUGGAAGAGUCGCUAGAGGUUCCGAGCGAUCGGGAUCCCAGAUGAAUGAUCAUCGCAAUUUUGUUCGCGAGUUUAACGAGUGAUUACAAAAUUGACGACCCGCCCAACUUUUGCUUGUCAAAAGUUUUGGCGGGUGCUCAUUUUGUCAGCUGUUCGUGUUAGCACACUCACAGGACAAAUUGGCACAGAAUUAGGCUUACGGCUUUCUUAACAG
RNAcentral lists this RNase P RNA (610 nucleotides) under Candidatus Sungiibacteriota bacterium. Its description in RNAcentral is "RNase P RNA component class A". It matches the Rfam family "Bacterial RNase P class A". From Rfam's summary of the family: Ribonuclease P (RNase P) is a ubiquitous endoribonuclease, found in archaea, bacteria and eukarya as well as chloroplasts and mitochondria. Lineage: Bacteria; Candidatus Sungiibacteriota. The record is from RNAcentral.